UACAGAGGUGGCAAGCGUUGUUCGGAAUUACUGGGCGUAAAGGGCGCGUAGGCGGCCAACUAAGUCGGACGUGAAAUCCCCAGGCUCAACCUGGGAACUGCGUCCGAUACUGGAUGGCUCGAAUCCGGGAGAGGGAUGUGGAAUUCCAGGUGUAGCGGUGAAAUGCGUAGAUAUCUGGAGGAACACCGGUGGCGAAAGCGGCUCACUGGACCGUCACUGACGCUGAGGUGCGAAAGCUAGGGUAGCAAACGGG
RNAcentral lists this ribosomal RNA (253 nucleotides) under uncultured bacterium. Its description in RNAcentral is "partial 16S ribosomal RNA". It matches the Rfam family "Bacterial small subunit ribosomal RNA", at positions 524 to 776 of the family's 1533-position model. The record is from RNAcentral.